CGCAUCUGUGCAUGCAGCAUAUCAAUAAGCGGAGGAAAAGAAACUAACAAGGAUUCCCCUAGCUAACGGCGAGUGAAGCGGGAAGAGCUCAAAUUUGAAAUCUUAAAGGGUUUCCCUUUACGAAUUGUAGUUUAAAGAAGUGUUUUCUGUUGAGGUUUUGGUAAAAGUUCUUUGGAAUAGGACAUCAUAGAGGGUGAGAAUCCCGUAUUUGACCUUUACUUUCAACUUUGUGAUACACUUUCAAAGAGUCGGAUUGUUUGGGAAUGCAGUCCAAAAUGGGUGGUAAAUUUCAUCUAAAGCUAAAUAUUGGGGAGAGACCGAUAGCGAACAAAGUACCGUGAGGGAAAGAUGAAAAGAACUUUGAAAAGAGAGUUAAACAGUACGUGAAAUUGUCAAAAGGGAAGCGUUUGACACCAGUGUUGUUUUUCUGAAAAUCAAUUAAAGAACUGUUUAUGCUAAGUUGUUUAGACUUUAUCAGCUAACUGUUUAGUUUUGAGCUUUUCUUUAAUGCACUUUUCAGUUAACAAGUCAACAUCAAUUUCUUUUGCUGUAAAAAAGCUUGAGGAAGGUGGCUUGAGAUUCGUCUUAAGUGUUUAUAGCCUCUUGCCUAUGCAGUCGGAGAGAUUGAGGUCUGCAGCGUAGAUCCUUCGGGGCUAAAUGCAUUUGUGCUAAGUUAUAGCAUUUUAUAGACAACUUGUUGACUAUGAUUUGUCUUGUAGCUUACUCGCUUAUGUUAUUUUACCUACGCUUAGGAUGUUGAACGCGCACAGAGUCUC
This 776-nucleotide ribosomal RNA is filed under the name uncultured Neocallimastigales. Its description in RNAcentral is "partial large subunit ribosomal RNA". It matches the Rfam family "Eukaryotic large subunit ribosomal RNA", at positions 26 to 611 of the family's 3401-position model. The record is from RNAcentral. Lineage: Eukaryota; Fungi; Neocallimastigomycota; Neocallimastigomycetes; Neocallimastigales.